CCCUUAGAUGUUCUGGGCUGCACGCGCGCUACACUGAAGCUAUCAACACGUUUUCCCUCCCUGAGAAGGGCGGGUAACCUUUUGAAUCAGCUUCGUGGUAGGGAUCGGGGCUUGCAAUUGUUCCCCGUGAACCAGGAAUUCCUAGUAGACGCGAGUCAUAAGCUCGCAUCGAUUAAGUCCCUGCCCUUUGUACACACCGCCCGUCGCUACUACCGAUUGAACGUUUUAGUGAGGCAUUUGGACCGACGCAUCUCAGUUUAACCGCUGGUUUGUGUUGGAAAGACUUCCAAACUUGAGCGUUUAGAGGAAGUAAAAGUCGUAACA
RNAcentral lists this ribosomal RNA (324 nucleotides) under uncultured eukaryote. Its description in RNAcentral is "partial 18S ribosomal RNA". It matches the Rfam family "Eukaryotic small subunit ribosomal RNA", at positions 1470 to 1796 of the family's 1831-position model. The record is from RNAcentral.